GAUGAACGCUGGCGGCGUGCUUAACACAUGCAAGUCGAACGGAGUCCAGCCUUAGAGACGUUCUGGUCGAUGGGGGGAAGACUGAGUGGCAGACGGGUGAGUAACACGUGGCCUACCUGGCUCAUAGAGGGGGAGAACAGAGAGCAAUUUCUGCUAAUACCGCAUAUGCACACUCUGCCGCAUGGCAGAGUGUGAAAGGAGAAGCGCGAUGAGAUGGACCCGCGUCUGAUUAGCCAGUUGGCAGGGGAAGAGCAUGCCUACGCGGCGAUAAGUAGCCGACAUGGGAAGAUGAACGCGGACAAUGGGACUACGGCACGGACCAGAGUGCUACGGGAGGCAGCGGUGGGGGGUAUUACACAAUGGAGGGGAGUGUAAUGCAGCGGCGCCGCGUGAGUUAAGAUGUAUUUCGGUAUGGAAAGCUCUAUCAGCAGGGAAGAUAUUGACGGUACCGGAUGAAGAAGCCCCGGCUAACUACGUG
This 478-nucleotide ribosomal RNA is filed under the name uncultured bacterium. RNAcentral describes it as "partial 16S ribosomal RNA". It matches the Rfam family "Bacterial small subunit ribosomal RNA", at positions 28 to 507 of the family's 1533-position model. The record is from RNAcentral.